Molecule: small RNA, 169 nt
Filed under: uncultured archaeon A07HR60
Lineage: Archaea
Description: HgcC family RNA
Source: RNAcentral
GACGGAAUCCUCGCCGACGCGCGGGGAGGAGUCAAACCCCCGAUGGUCGUUGAUGACGAACUGACGGGUAGUGAUUGUUGGAGCACUCAGGCUUAAUUUCCGAAUCAUGGCUGAACGAGGCGGAAACCCACCCCUUCAGGGGUGGGAGGAAGCCGACACGAGAGAGAAC